UACAGAGGUCCCAAGCGUUGUUCGGAUUCACUGGGCGUAAAGGGUGCGUAGGCGGUCGGGUAAGUCUGACGUGAAAUCUCCAAGCUCAACUUGGAAAUGGCGUCGGAUACUAUUCGGCUCGAGGAAUGGAGGGGAGACUGGAAUUCUCGGUGUAGCAGUGAAAUGCGCAGAUAUCAGGAGGAACACCGGUGGCGAAGGCGGUUCUCUGGGCAUGAUCUGACGCUGAGGAGCGAAAGUGUGGGGAGCGAACAGG
Molecule: ribosomal RNA, 253 nt
Filed under: uncultured bacterium
Lineage: Bacteria
Description: partial 16S ribosomal RNA
Rfam family: Bacterial small subunit ribosomal RNA
Source: RNAcentral